This 253-nucleotide ribosomal RNA is filed under the name uncultured bacterium. Its description in RNAcentral is "partial 16S ribosomal RNA". It matches the Rfam family "Bacterial small subunit ribosomal RNA", at positions 524 to 776 of the family's 1533-position model. The record is from RNAcentral.
UACAGAGGGGGCGAGCGUUGUUCGGAUUUACUGGGCGUAAAGGGCGCGUAGGCGGCUUGACAAGUCACUUGUGAAAUCUCUGGGCUUAACCCAGAACGGCCAAGUGAAACUGUCGAGCUAGAGUGUAGAAGGGGCAAUCGGAAUUCUUGGUGUAGCGGUGAAAUGCGUAGAUAUCAAGAGGAACACCUGAGGUGAAGACGGGUUGCUGGUCUAACACUGACGCUGAGGCGCGAAAGCCAGGGGAGCAAACGGG